CGUACACUCCUGCGGGAGGCAGCAGUGGGGAAUUUUGGACAAUGGGGGCAACCCUGAUCCAGCAAUGCCGCGUGAGUGAAGAAGGCCUUCGGGUUGUAAAGCUCUUUUGUCAGGGAAGAAACGGUAGUAGCGAAUAACUAUUACUAAUGACGGCACCUGAAGAAUAAGCACCGGCUAACUACGUGCCAGCAGCCGCGGUAAUACGUAGGGUGCAAGCGUUAAUCGGAAUUACUGGGUGUAAAGCGUGCGCAGGCGGUUGUGUAAGUCAGAUGUGAAAUCCCCGGGCUCAACCUGGGAAUUGCAUUUGAGACUGCACGGCUAGAGUGUGUCAGAGGGGGGUAGAAUUCCACGUGUAGCAGUGAAAUGCGUAGAUAUGUGGAGGAAUACCGAUGGCGAAGGCAGCCCCCUGGGAUAACACUGACGCUCAUGCACGAAAGCGUGGGGAGCAAACAGGAUUAGAAACCCGUGUAGUCCCAUG
This 478-nucleotide ribosomal RNA is filed under the name uncultured organism. Its description in RNAcentral is "partial 16S ribosomal RNA". It matches the Rfam family "Bacterial small subunit ribosomal RNA", at positions 330 to 799 of the family's 1533-position model. The record is from RNAcentral.